AAACAGCCUUCUAUGUUUUGAUUCUUUGGCAGUUUUGGACCCCCAAGGCAAAAAAAAAAUUACAUGUGGCACCUCACUUAGAGUGUCACGUCAGCGUUGACCGAGUCAACAAUGGACUGGGGUCCAAAACUGCCAAAGAAUCAAAACAUAGGGGGCUGUUU
This 161-nucleotide microRNA precursor is filed under the name Medicago truncatula (barrel medic). RNAcentral's name for it is "MIR2619 microRNA precursor family". It matches the Rfam family "MIR2619 microRNA precursor family". Lineage: Eukaryota; Viridiplantae; Streptophyta; Magnoliopsida; Fabales; Fabaceae. The record is from Rfam by way of RNAcentral.